AGAGUUUGAUCCUGGCUCAGGACGAACGCUGGCGGCGUGCCUAAUACAUGCAAGUAGAACGCUGAAGGAGGAGCUUGCUCUUCUGGAUGAGUUGCGAACGGGUGAGUAACGCGUAGGUAACCUGCCUGGUGGCGGGGGAUAACUAUUGGAAACGAUAGCUAAUACCGCAUAACAUUGACUAUUGCAUGAUAGUCAAUUGAAAGGUGCAAAUGCACCACUACCAGAUGGACCUGCGUUGUAUUAGCUAGUUGGUGGGGUAACGGCUCACCAAGGCGACGAUACAUAGCCGACCUGAGAGGGUGAUCGGCCACACUGGGACUGAGACACGGCCCAGACUCCUACGGGAGGCAGCAGUAGGGAAUCUUCGGCAAUGGACGAAAGUCUGACCGAGCAACGCCGCGUGAGUGAAGAAGGUUUUCGGAUCGUAAAGCUCUGUUGUAAGAGAAGAACGAGUGUGAGAGUGGAAAGUUCACACUGUGACGGUAUCUUACCAGAAAGGGACGGCUAACUACGUGCCAGCAGCCGCGGU
This 529-nucleotide ribosomal RNA is filed under the name Streptococcus sp. oral clone BP1-55. RNAcentral describes it as "bacterial SSU rRNA". It matches the Rfam family "Bacterial small subunit ribosomal RNA", at positions 8 to 521 of the family's 1533-position model. Lineage: Bacteria; Bacillati; Bacillota; Bacilli; Lactobacillales; Streptococcaceae. The record is from RNAcentral.